This 424-nucleotide ribosomal RNA is filed under the name uncultured eukaryote. RNAcentral's name for it is "SSU rRNA". It matches the Rfam family "Eukaryotic small subunit ribosomal RNA", at positions 567 to 972 of the family's 1831-position model. The record is from RNAcentral.
CCAGCGGCCGCGGUAAUUCCAGCCCCAGUAGCGUAUAUUAACGUUGUUGCAGUUAAAAAGUUCGUAGUUGAAUUUCUGGCUGUAGCACCCUGGCCCCUCAGGUAAAUUAGCCUCGAGGUUGUGCUGGUUGUGUGCUUGGUCAUCUUUUCCUGACCACCCCCUGGUUCGUUCAUUCGUUUCAGUGUUGGGUAUCAGGAUCUUUUACUUUGAAGAAAUUAGAGUGUUCAAAGCAGGCAUGAUUUGCUUCUGAAUACAUUAGCAUGGAGUAAUAAAAUAGGACUUUGGUGCUAUUUUGUUGGUUUCUAGUACUAAAGUAAUGAUUGAUAGGGACAGUUGGGGGUGCUAGUAUUGAAUGGUCAGAAGUGAAAUUCUCGGAUUCAUUCAAGACUAACUACUGCGAAAGCAUUCACCAAGGAUGUCUUCU